CGGCGGCCCUGAGGGGGAGGCAGGCCCGGGGGAGCGGCGGAGAGGAAGAGGGGGGCCGGGACCCGUGACAGGAACGUUUCGGGAAAAUUCUUACGGUGCCCUUCCCCGCUGUGGCUGUGGACGGAGGAAGCAGCCGCAAAUAAAAGCAUCCCCCGCGGCAGUUGGGGCGGAACAAUCUAGAUGUGGGUGUUGGUUCUGGAUGCUGAGAAGUCCAAGAUCAAGGUGCCAGCAGAUCUGAUGUCUGAUGAGGUUUGCUGGUUUGUCUGGUGAUGUCUUCUUGGUUUGCAGAUGGCCACCGUCUUGCUUAAGUGACAGAGCAAGAUUGCAGUCCUGGCCUGUGUGACUCUGAACCGCUAGAUGUGGCUGCAGGAAUGGCAGCAGGAGGACUGCUGUGGAGAUGAAGAUAAG
RNAcentral lists this long non-coding RNA (408 nucleotides) under Equus asinus (donkey). Its description in RNAcentral is "lncRNA (ENSEASG00005025239.1)". The record is from RNAcentral. Lineage: Eukaryota; Metazoa; Chordata; Mammalia; Perissodactyla; Equidae.